GAUAGCGUCUAUCCUCUCGGAUAGCCUUCUAAGCUGUGGGUCUUGGGUUCGAAUCCCAACGGAAUCA
RNAcentral lists this transfer RNA (67 nucleotides) under Prevotella micans F0438. The record is from Rfam by way of RNAcentral. Lineage: Bacteria; Pseudomonadati; Bacteroidota; Bacteroidia; Bacteroidales; Prevotellaceae.